GCGUUAGAUGAAGGCGGAAGUCGACGUGAAAUACUACUAAUGUUGAACGAGGUGUUUCGCCAGUUUAUUUUUCCCAACUUCCUAUUCAACAGUUAAAGUUCCUAUGAUGUCGGAACAAUUAAGGAAUGACAUCAGGGAAAGGAAACUGAGAGUAACACUUUUGAGUGCUGAAUGGAAAGCAUCAAGUGAUGGAGACUUAACAACCAUCAACAGAGAGCUAGCAAUACAGAUGGCUAAACAUCC
Pocillopora verrucosa is the source of this 243-nucleotide non-coding RNA. The record is from RefSeq and is a predicted model, not a curated record. Lineage: Eukaryota; Metazoa; Cnidaria; Anthozoa; Scleractinia; Pocilloporidae.